GAUCCCCAUUUUCCUCCUCGCUCGAUCUCCCCUUCCCCUCCUUCCACCUAGCGCCGCCACAACCUCCCUCUGCAGCGCCAGACCUCCACCAGCGGCUCUCCUUCGCCCCGAUGCUCCUCUGUCUCUAACCCCGGCCGGAUCAACUCGGUUUCCCGGUGCCCUCGCCUCGCACUGGCAAGUGACCCUGCCGGAGUAACAGCAACACCAUGGACCCCUCGCGCCCUUCUCCUUUCCUGCUCUCUCUCUCUCUCGCAGCUUCUGUUCCCCGAUUACUUCUCUCAAUUACUCUCUGUUUUUUUCUUCAGGACCCAGUAGCCACCAUGGACGCCAUAGCGCAGCCCUGCCUCCGUUCCCGCGACCAUGCACCGGCCAGCAGCAGGGAACUACGCGCGCCCCUGCUCGAAGAAGUUGCCGCCUCCCCGACCGGACCUGGUGCCUCGCUGUCCCAGCGCUGGACCCGGAGCCCGCAAUUCUCGUUGGACCUCUACCACGCCCCAUUCAUCACGCUGCCUGUUUGGCCUCCGUUUUUCCUCGCUGUGAGCACGUUCGGCCAUGGACGUUUUGAGCCGUUUGCCUCCUGCACACGUCGUUGCUUCCUCCAAAUCCAUCGAAGGACACCGUGCAACAAAUAACCAAGUACCCAUGGAUGCAAGUACCAA
Molecule: long non-coding RNA, 659 nt
Organism: Triticum dicoccoides
Lineage: Eukaryota; Viridiplantae; Streptophyta; Magnoliopsida; Poales; Poaceae
Exons: 2
Source: RefSeq, a predicted model, not a curated record